This is a long non-coding RNA of Pezoporus occidentalis (night parrot), 457 nucleotides long. RefSeq lists it as uncharacterized. Lineage: Eukaryota; Metazoa; Chordata; Aves; Psittaciformes; Psittacidae. The transcript is spliced from 4 exons. The record is from RefSeq and is a predicted model, not a curated record.
AACAGAUUUUGCAGAAGUAAAAGAUACUGGGAAGGAGAAGGAAAAGAGCACUAGUGUAAGCUUACCACAGGGCAGAGUAUGCAAACAUCCAUCUUCUUGAUGGAGAUUCAGAAUUGCAGCUCAGACAUACUAGAGUGUACUGAAGUGCCUCUCUUUUGAGCACAUGCCUACGGUGUUUCCCUAUGAGGUCAGACAUUAGCUGCAGGCAAAUGUGGAUAACACAGAUUAAGACACCAUCUCCAGCUCCAUCAAAGUCCCUUUGCAGAUCCCCAAAACGUGCUUGAAGAAGGGAGCAGAUAAGAUUCUCCAGCUCCACAUUAAGCAGUGAACAAUGACAACACCACAGUGGAUGAGCAGAGGCUCAUCUUAUCCCCUAAGGAAAUUUGCAAACGUGACAAAAAGCACAGAGAAACAGCUUGACUCGCUCAGGAACUUUCCGACAAACUCCUUACCGUGA